RNAcentral lists this long non-coding RNA (341 nucleotides) under Medicago truncatula (barrel medic). Its description in RNAcentral is "long non-coding RNA (MTRU_LNC002410)". The record is from RNAcentral. Lineage: Eukaryota; Viridiplantae; Streptophyta; Magnoliopsida; Fabales; Fabaceae.
GUGGAUGAGAAGUUGCAGCCUGUAAAUUCACCUUAAUGUCUUGUCUACUAAAUGAUGUUAACGAUGGCGGUGGAGGUGGUGGCGGAGGUGGUACGGUGGAUCCCUUUCCAACCACAGAAGAUGGUGUUGCAAGUGGCGUUAACGGUCCAAAAUAAUGUGAAGAGUCGCCUAAAGCACGUGGUGGUGGUGGUGGUGGCGGAGGAGGAGGAGGGAGAGGAGGAGACUGUGGGGGAGGCUGUAGCAAUUGCUCUGACCUCUGUUCUUGUGCCUGAGCAGCUAGCUUAAGAGAUGUCUCUUUAACUGAUAGUGGUGGUGGUGGACAUUUUGCACCAAUUUCUGAU